CAGCACCUCAAGUGGUCAGGAGGAUUAUUGGGCCUAAAGCAUCCGUAGCCUGUUCUAUAAGUUUCCGGGUUAAAUCCAUUGGGCUCAACUAAUGGGCUGCCGAAAAUACUGUGGAACUAGGGAGUGGGAGAGGUAGACGGUACUCGGUAGGAAGGGGUAAAAUCCUUUGAUCUAUUGAUGACCACCUGUGGCGAAGGCGGUCUACCAGAACACGUUCGACGGUGAGGGAUGAAAGCUGGGGGAGCAAACCGGAUUAGAUACCCGGGUAGUCCCAGCUGUAAACGAUGCAGACUCGGUGAUGCCCUGGCUUGUGGCCAGCGCAGUGCCGCAGGGAAGCCGUUAAGUUUGCCGCCUGGGAAGUACGUACGCAAAGUAUG
This 377-nucleotide ribosomal RNA is filed under the name uncultured organism. Its description in RNAcentral is "partial 16S ribosomal RNA". It matches the Rfam family "Archaeal small subunit ribosomal RNA", at positions 477 to 851 of the family's 1478-position model. The record is from RNAcentral.